RNAcentral lists this ribosomal RNA (481 nucleotides) under Cryptosporidium canis. RNAcentral describes it as "SSU rRNA". It matches the Rfam family "Eukaryotic small subunit ribosomal RNA", at positions 556 to 1069 of the family's 1831-position model. The record is from RNAcentral. Lineage: Eukaryota; Apicomplexa; Conoidasida; Eucoccidiorida; Cryptosporidiidae.
CAAGUCUGGUGCCAGCAGCCGCGGUAAUUCCAGCUCCAAUAGCGUAUAUUAAAGUUGUUGCAGUUAAAAAGCUCGUAGUUGGAUUUCUGUUAAUAAUUUAUAUAUAAUAUUUAACAUAUUUAUAUAAUAUUAACAUAAUUCAUAUUACUAUUUAUAGUAUAUGAAACUUUACUUUGAGAAAAUUAGAGUGCUUAAAGCAGGCUUUUGCCUUGAAUACUAGAGCAUGGAAUAAUAUUAAAGAUUUUUAUCUUUCUUAUUGGUUCUAAGAUAGAAAUAAUGAUUAAUAGGGACAGUUGGGGGCAUUUGUAUUUAACAGUUAGAGGUGAAAUUCUUAGAUUUGUUAAAGACAAACUAAUGCGAAAGCAUUUGCCAAGGAUGUUUUCAUUAAUCAAGAACGAAAGUUAGGGGAUCGAAGACGAUCAGAUACCGUCGUAGUCUUAACCAUAAACUAUGCCAACUAGAGAUUGGAGGUUGUUCCUUA